RNAcentral lists this ribosomal RNA (253 nucleotides) under uncultured bacterium. RNAcentral describes it as "partial 16S ribosomal RNA". It matches the Rfam family "Bacterial small subunit ribosomal RNA", at positions 524 to 776 of the family's 1533-position model. The record is from RNAcentral.
UACGUAGGGUGCAAGCGUUGUCCGGAUUUAUUGGGCGUAAAGAGCUCGUAGGCGGUCUGUCGCGUCGGAUGUGAAAACCCAGGGCUCAACCCUGGGCCUGCAUUCGAUACGGGCAGACUAGAGUACGGCAGGGGAGACUGGAAUUCCUGGUGUAGCGGUGAAAUGCGCAGAUAUCAGGAGGAACACCGGUGGCGAAGGCGGGUCUCUGGGCCGUAACUGACGCUGAGGCGCGAAAGCUCGGGGAGCGAACGGG